UAAUACGUAGGGACCGAGCGUUAUCCGGAUUCAUUGGGCGUAAAGAGCUCGUAGGCGGCUAUUCAAGUCGAACGUGAAAUCUCGGGGCUCAACCCCGAGCCUGCGUUCGAUACUGAAUAGCUAGAGUCUGGUAGGGGGAUCUGGAAUUCCUGGUGUAGCGGUGGAAUGCGCAGAUAUCAGGAGGAACACCGGUGGCGAAGGCGGGAUCCUGGGCCAGUACUGACGCUGAGGAGCGAAAGCGUGGGGAGCAAACAGGAUUAGAUACCCUGGUAGUCCACGCCGUAAACGAUGGGCGCUAGGUGUGGGAGGUCAUCGACUCCUUCCGUGCCGCAGCUAACGCAUUAAGCGCCCCGCCUGGGGAGUACGGCCGCAAGGCUA
This 378-nucleotide ribosomal RNA is filed under the name uncultured bacterium. RNAcentral's name for it is "bacterial SSU rRNA". It matches the Rfam family "Bacterial small subunit ribosomal RNA", at positions 521 to 896 of the family's 1533-position model. The record is from RNAcentral.